GAUCCUGGUUCAGAUUGAACGCUGGCGGCAGGCCUAACACAUGCAAGUCGAACGGUAACAGGAAGCAGCUUGCUGCUUCGCUGACGAGUGGCGGACGGGUGAGUAAUGUCUGGGAAACUGCCUGAUGGAGGGGGGAUAACUACUGGAAACGGUAGCUAAUACCGCAUAACGUCGCAAGACCAAAGAGGGGGGACCUUCGGCCUCUUGCCAUCGGAUGUGCCCAGAUGGGAUUAGCUAGUAGGG
This 243-nucleotide ribosomal RNA is filed under the name uncultured bacterium. RNAcentral's name for it is "partial 16S ribosomal RNA". It matches the Rfam family "Bacterial small subunit ribosomal RNA", at positions 15 to 253 of the family's 1533-position model. The record is from RNAcentral.